AGUACGCCCGCGUUAGGGAUUGAAGUGGCAUCCUUUUUAGUUGUCAGUUCGAGUGAUCACGCUUUUGGGCGUGAUUGUAUCGAGAACAAAACUAAAAAGAUAUAACGGAAAGCCCGACCACAC
Molecule: small RNA, 123 nt
Filed under: Tenacibaculum todarodis
Lineage: Bacteria; Pseudomonadati; Bacteroidota; Flavobacteriia; Flavobacteriales; Flavobacteriaceae
Description: Tenacibaculum sp. LPB0136 Flavo-1 RNA
Rfam family: Flavo-1 RNA
Source: Rfam by way of RNAcentral